UACGGAGGGUGCAAGCGUUGUUCGGAAUUAUUGGGCGUAAAGCGCGCGCAGGCGGCCUGGAAAGUCUAUGGGUGAAAUGCCGGGGCUCAACCCCGUGCAUGCCCAGGAUACUGCCAGGCUGGAGACACGUAGAGGCAGGCGGGAUUUCGGGUGUAGCGGUGGAAUGCGUAGAUAUCAGGAGGAACACCUAUUGCGAAGGCAGCUCGCUGGGACGUAACUGACGCUGAGACGCGAAAGCGUGGGGAGCAAACAGG
RNAcentral lists this ribosomal RNA (254 nucleotides) under uncultured bacterium. RNAcentral describes it as "partial 16S ribosomal RNA". It matches the Rfam family "Bacterial small subunit ribosomal RNA", at positions 524 to 776 of the family's 1533-position model. The record is from RNAcentral.